RNAcentral lists this ribosomal RNA (301 nucleotides) under uncultured bacterium. RNAcentral's name for it is "partial 16S ribosomal RNA". It matches the Rfam family "Bacterial small subunit ribosomal RNA", at positions 509 to 807 of the family's 1533-position model. The record is from RNAcentral.
CAGUCGCCGCGGUAGUACGUAGGGUGCGAGCGUUAAUCGGAAUUACUGGGCGUAAAGCGUGCGCAGGCGGUUGUGUAAGACAGGUGUGAAAUCCCCGGGCUUAACCUGGGAACUGCGCUUGUGACUGCACAGCUAGAGUAUGGCAGAGGGGGGUGGAAUUCCACGUGUAGCAGUGAAAUGCGUAGAGAUGUGGAGGAACACCGAUGGCGAAGGCAGCCCCCUGGGCCAAUACUGACGCUCAUGCACGAAAGCGUGGGGAGCAAACAGGAUUAGAUACCCCCGUAGUCCCUGUCUCUUAUAC